Molecule: ribosomal RNA, 409 nt
Filed under: uncultured bacterium
Lineage: Bacteria
Description: bacterial SSU rRNA
Rfam family: Bacterial small subunit ribosomal RNA
Source: RNAcentral
CACGUGAGUAACCUGCCCUUGACUUUGGGAUAACUUCAGGAAACUGGGGCUAAUACCGGAUAGGAGCUCCUGCUGCAUGGUGGGGGUUGGAAAGUUUCGGCGGUUGGGGAUGGACUCGCGGCUUAUCAGCUUGUUGGUGGGGUAGUGGCUUACCAAGGCUUUGACGGGUAGCCGGCCUGAGAGGGUGACCGGCCACAUUGGGACUGAGAUACGGCCCAGACUCCUACGGGAGGCAGCAGUGGGGAAUAUUGCACAAUGGGCGGAAGCCUGAUGCAGCAACGCCGCGUGCGGGAUGACGGCCUUCGGGUUGUAAACCGCUUUCGCCUGUGACGAAGCGUGAGUGACGGUAAUGGGUAAAGAAGCACCGGCUAACUACGUGCCAGCAGCCGCGGUGAUACGUANGGUGCGA